GGUUUUCUGUAAUGAUAGAAAAUCAGGCCUGCUCAAUGCUUUAGUAAAUAGCCGCGGUAUUAUGACCGUGCAAAGGUAGCAUAAUCAUUAGUCUUUUAAUUUGGGACUGGUAUGAAAGGUUAAACUAAGUAACUGUGUCUUAUAAUAAUAUUUUGAAAUUUACUUUUUAGUAAAAAGGCUAAAAUUUUUUUUAGGGACAAGAAGACCCUAUCAAGCUUUACAAGGGAAUUUUAUUUUUCUUAAAGUAAAAAAACUUGUUUAACUGGGGCAGUAAAUAAAUAAAAAUUUUAUUUUAAAAUUACGGUUUCGAUCCCUGUGAAAACGAAAAUUUUUCAAAAAGGAACAAGUUACUGUAGGGAUAACAGCGUAAUUCUUUUAGAGAGUUCUUAUCAUCAGAAGAGUUUGCGACCUCGAUGUUGGAUUAAAAUGUCUAAGCCACGCAAUAGUGAUUUAAGAAAGUCUGUUCGACUUUUAAAAUUUUCCA
RNAcentral lists this ribosomal RNA (484 nucleotides) under Opistophthalmus carinatus. RNAcentral describes it as "partial 16S ribosomal RNA". It matches the Rfam family "Bacterial large subunit ribosomal RNA", at positions 1831 to 2600 of the family's 2925-position model. The record is from RNAcentral. Lineage: Eukaryota; Metazoa; Arthropoda; Arachnida; Scorpiones; Scorpionidae.